Molecule: ribosomal RNA, 253 nt
Filed under: uncultured bacterium
Lineage: Bacteria
Description: partial 16S ribosomal RNA
Rfam family: Bacterial small subunit ribosomal RNA
Source: RNAcentral
UACGGGGGGGGCAAGCGUUGUUCGGAAUUACUGGGCGUAAAGGGCUGGUAGGCGGCCAACUAAGUCGGAUGUGAAAUCCCCAGGCUUAACCUGGGAACUGCAUCCGAUACUGGUCGGCUUGAAUCCGGGAGAGGGAUGCGGAAUUCCAGGUGUAGCGGUGAAAUGCGUAGAUAUCUGGAGGAACACCGGUGGCGAAGGCGGCAUCCUGGACCGGCAUUGACGCUGAGGCGCGAAAGCUAGGGGAGCAAACGGG